Molecule: ribosomal RNA, 586 nt
Filed under: uncultured bacterium
Lineage: Bacteria
Description: partial 16S ribosomal RNA
Rfam family: Bacterial small subunit ribosomal RNA
Source: RNAcentral
UGGGGAAUUUUGGACAAUUGGGCGAAGCCUGAUCCAGCAAUGCCGCGUGUGUGAAGAAGGCCUUCGGGUUGUAAAGCACUUUUGUCCGGAAAGAAAUCCUUGGCUCUAAUACAGUCGGGGGAUGACGGUACCGGAAGAAUAAGCACCGGCUAACUACGUGCCAGCAGCCGCGGUAAUACGUAGGGUGCAAGCGUUAAUCGGAAUUACUGGGCGUAAAGCGUGCGCAGGCGGUUUGCUAAGACCGAUGUGAAAUCCCCGGGCUCAACCUGGGAACUGCAUUGGUGACUGGCAGGCUAGAGUAUGGCAGAGGGGGGUAGAAUUCCACGUGUAGCAGUGAAAUGCGUAGAGAUGUGGAGGAAUACCGAUGGCGAAGGCAGCCCCCUGGGCCAAUACUGACGCUCAUGCACGAAAGCGUGGGGAGCAAACAGGAUUAGAUACCCUGGUAGUCCACGCCCUAAACGAUGUCAACUAGUUGUUGGGGAUUCAUUUCCUUAGUAACGUAGCUAACGCGUGAAGUUGACCGCCUGGGGAGUACGGUCGCAAGAUUAAAACUUCAAAUGAAUUGACGGGGUCAUAGCUGUUUCCU